This is a non-coding RNA of Balaenoptera ricei (Rice's whale), 379 nucleotides long. The record is from the annotation of a RefSeq genome assembly. NCBI's taxonomy places the organism in Eukaryota, Metazoa, Chordata, Mammalia, Artiodactyla, Balaenopteridae.
UCAGCAACAGAGCCUGACCCUGGGUCCUGGUUUACACUAGAAUAUGAGGCAUUUGACAAGACUGACUGUGCUCCUGAUCUUGGGUACUUUGAGUCUUGCUAAGACCAUCCAGCCCAUCUUCAUUGACUCAUAUGAAGGACAAGAAGUGAACAUAUCCUGUAACCACACCAACAUUGCUACAGAUGACUAUAUCUUCUGGUACCGACAGUUCCCCAACCAGGGACCACAAUUUGUCAUUCAAGGAUAUAAGACAAACAUCGCAAAUGAAGUGGCAUCUCUGUUUAUUCCUACUGAGAGGAAGUCCAGCACCCUGAGCCUGCCCUCCGCUGCCCUGAAAGACGCUGCUGUGUAUUACUGCGUCGUGAGUGACACACAGUGA